Molecule: long non-coding RNA, 256 nt
Organism: Hippoglossus stenolepis (Pacific halibut)
Lineage: Eukaryota; Metazoa; Chordata; Actinopteri; Pleuronectiformes; Pleuronectidae
Exons: 3
Source: RefSeq, a predicted model, not a curated record
AGGAGCGCGAGUGAAGACUGACAGCUGAGCCACGCCCACAGAGCUCAACGUUACCUGGUUAGCUCAGGCUAAGGAGCUAGGCUACAUGCUCCUGCUAACCGGCUAGCGCUGCGGUGUCACAACGAACAUAACCAGAGUUAAUCAGUUCUGGCUGAGAUGAUCUGUGGUGCUUCCACCUGCUGAACACAGAAUAAACUUACAUGAAGCACUGCAGCACCUGAUGUCCUCAGCAUCCACUGUGGCAGCAGCAACAUGG